ACGGGGUGCAGCAGGCGCGAAAACUUUGCAAUGUGCGAAAGCACGACAAGGUUAAUCCGAGUGGUUUCUGCUAAAGGAACCUUUUGUUAGUCAUAGAACCACUAAUGAAUAAGGGGUGGGCAAGUUCUGGUGUCAGCCGCCGCGGUAAAACCAGCACCUCAAGUGGUCAGGAUGAUUAUUGGGCCUAAAGCAUCCGUAGCCUGCUUUGUAAGUUUUCGGUUAAAUCCAUACGCUCAACGUAUGGGCUGCCGGGAAUACUACAAAGCUAGGGAGUGGGAGAGGUAGACGGUACUCGGUAGGAAGGGGUAAAAUCCUUUGAUCUAUUGAUGACCACCUGUGGCGAAGGCGGUCUACCAGAACACGUCCGACGGUGAGGGAUGAAAGCUGGGGGAGCAAACCGGAUUAGAUACCCGGGUAGUCCCAGCUGUAAACUAUGCAAACUAGGUGAUGCAUUGGCUUGAUGCCAAUGCAGUGCCUCAGGAAGCCGUUAAGUUUGCCGCCUGGAAGUACGUACGCAAGUA
Molecule: ribosomal RNA, 521 nt
Filed under: uncultured archaeon
Lineage: Archaea
Description: bacterial SSU rRNA
Rfam family: Archaeal small subunit ribosomal RNA
Source: RNAcentral